This 638-nucleotide long non-coding RNA is filed under the name Populus trichocarpa (black cottonwood). Its description in RNAcentral is "long non-coding RNA (PTRI_LNC004329)". Lineage: Eukaryota; Viridiplantae; Streptophyta; Magnoliopsida; Malpighiales; Salicaceae. The record is from RNAcentral.
CAUUAUUAUUUUUUUGGUUCAACUCCAUUAUUAUCUUCUCUUGAACCGUUCUUCUCUCUGUGCUAUUACUGUAACAAUCUCUUCCACAUCGCAUCUCAUUACACCAUUCUCUGUUCCCAGUAAAUUAUUUCUUAAAACCAUAUACACUCUUCUCUUGCCUGUGCUUUCUGCUCUCUUUUCUUUCUGAAUACUGCUUUGAGCAAAGCAGCUCUUGCAGGGCAUCUUGAAUCCAGGUAAAGUAUUUUUACUUCAUCUUCUUCGUCUUGUUGGUGUUCUCCUGCAACUAUUGCUUGAAUCUUUUCAAGUAAAGGACAGGUUGUUGUAGGAUAACUAUUACUUAUUUUUUAAUUUAAUUAUUAGUUAGAUUUUAAAAUUUUUAAUUUAAAUUUAAGCUUCCACGCUCUUUCUGUGCUUCCAUUUAUUUAUUUUCUUUUCCUAGAUACAUUCUCUAAACCAUUCUUUUCUCUCAACUUUCUGUUUAAUUUUAGAUUGCUUAAGCAAAGCAGUAACUAGAAGGGACUUGAAGAACCGCUUUUAAUUUGUAGGGGAAUCAUAUUUAUGAUUUUUUUCAUUAUUUUUAUUUUUUAUUGUUUGAUUCAAACAUUGUUAUUUAUUUGCUAAAAAUAAUUAAAAUUGUG